AGGAGUGUGCCCUGGCCCUAGCUGCUCUAUUCCAUCCAGAAGUGAGAGUCAACACUUUGUAUUAAAAGAUUUGUUUGUAUUACUGUGUACCUAAAGUCCAUUGCUCUUAACUGAUGCACAGUAUUCCAUAGUAGGUAUACAUUCAUCACUUCAGUCCAGUUCCUGAACAGUGAUCUCUUUAAGUUGUCUGAAACUUCCUGCUGCUUUUUACUUAUAUGAUUAAAAUGCAGAAGAACUGCCGGAUUUUAGGGUAAUUUAAAAAUUAUAUUUGUAGUUCCAUCUUUCCUAUUUAGAUCUUUACUUCAUAUAGAUAUUUUAUUGUAUCUAACAUUGCUCAUUCCCUUUCCAAUCAAGUCAGUCUUAUUGGACGAGAGAAGGAGGUUAGCCCUUAUCAUGAAUGAUUAUGGUAAUUGUUGCACAU
This 421-nucleotide long non-coding RNA is filed under the name Pan troglodytes (chimpanzee). Its description in RNAcentral is "long non-coding RNA NONPTRT017031". The record is from RNAcentral. Lineage: Eukaryota; Metazoa; Chordata; Mammalia; Primates; Hominidae.